GUUUGCACUUGUCGGGGAAGGGUGAGAACCUUCGAUUAAGGUUCGACUCGAGCGAAAGCGAGAGAACGUUGCCAACG
Molecule: small RNA, 77 nt
Filed under: Salmonella enterica subsp. enterica serovar Muenchen
Lineage: Bacteria; Pseudomonadati; Pseudomonadota; Gammaproteobacteria; Enterobacterales; Enterobacteriaceae
Also listed under: 1 other name
Description: partial RtT sRNA
Rfam family: RtT RNA
About the family: This family represents a bacterial cis-regulatory element known as RtT RNA. The exact function of RtT is unknown although it is thought that it may be involved in changing the cellular response in relation to amino acid starvation.
Source: RNAcentral